This 627-nucleotide long non-coding RNA is filed under the name Mus musculus (house mouse). RNAcentral's name for it is "long non-coding RNA chr14:48560561-48561188". Lineage: Eukaryota; Metazoa; Chordata; Mammalia; Rodentia; Muridae. The record is from RNAcentral.
AAAGGUUGUUCCUCUAAGACAGGUCUCGUCCCUGACAAUGGCCUUGCUGGAACUUCCUUGCUUUUAGGGGCAGAGAAUGGGUCUUCCUGUAAUGAUUCAUGGUGUGAUAACCUAAUGUGUGAAGAAGGGCAAGCUUGGAGUGCUGUGACAGAUUCAAAUGAUGACACUCAAUGCUCAGUGAAUGAAGACACAGAUGGGGGUGGGGGUGGGGAAGUGGGGGCGGGGGCGUGUUGUAAGAAAGCCUCAAAGUGCAGCAGGCUUGGUUUCUGUCGAAGCUGCCUGAAUGGUGUGUGCAGGUGGGUUUGCUCUUUGCUCCUGUACUUCCUUUAGAAAACAAAACAAAACAAAAAUUUUCUUAUCUAUCUAUAUCUAUCUAUCUAUGUUUCAAGACAGGGUUUCUGGGUGUAGCAUUGGCUGUCCUAGAACUAGCUCUGUAGACCAGGUUGGCCUCAAACUCACCCACCUGCGUCUGCUGGGAUUAAAGGCAUACACCAUCACCCCCCAGCUAAAAACCCUGUAUCUUGCUUUUUUUUUUUUAAGUAUCUUUAGUUCCAAAUUUCCUUAGUUUUCCCAGCAUCCACCCCCCACUCCCACCCACCCCCUUGUGAGUGUUUUAAUGAUUAUGCA